Molecule: ribosomal RNA, 465 nt
Filed under: Vreelandella stevensii
Lineage: Bacteria; Pseudomonadati; Pseudomonadota; Gammaproteobacteria; Oceanospirillales; Halomonadaceae
Description: partial 16S ribosomal RNA
Rfam family: Bacterial small subunit ribosomal RNA
Source: RNAcentral
CCUACGGGGUGCAGCAGUGGGGAAUAUUGGACAAUGGGCGAAAGCCUGAUCCAGCCAUGCCGCGUGUGUGAAGAAGGCCUUCGGGUUGUAAAGCACUUUCAGUGGGGAAGAAAGCCUUGGGGCUAAUACCCUCGAGGAAGGACAUCACCCACAGAAGAAGCACCGGCUAACUCCGUGCCAGCAGCCGCGGUAAUACGGAGGGUGCGAGCGUUAAUCGGAAUUACUGGGCGUAAAGCGCGCGUAGGCGGUCUGAUAAGCCGGUUGUGAAAGCCCCGGGCUCAACCUGGGAACGGCAUCCGGAACUGUCAGGCUAGAGUGCAGGAGAGGAAGGUAGAAUUCCCGGUGUAGCGGUGAAAUGCGUAGAGAUCGGGAGGAAUACCAGUGGCGAAGGCGGCCUACUGGACUGACACUGACGCUGAGGUGCGAAAGCGUGGGUAGCAAACAGGAUUAGAUACCCCUGUAGUC